This is a small nuclear RNA of Chionomys nivalis (European snow vole), 107 nucleotides long. The record is from RefSeq and is a predicted model, not a curated record. NCBI's taxonomy places the organism in Eukaryota, Metazoa, Chordata, Mammalia, Rodentia, Cricetidae.
GUGGGCUCGCUUUGGCAACACAUGUACUAAAAUUAGAACCAUACAAGGAAGUAGCAUGGCGCCUGCGCAAGGAUGACACGCUAAUUCACAAAGCAUUCCAGUUCCGA